RNAcentral lists this non-coding RNA (157 nucleotides) under Bacillus methanolicus MGA3. Lineage: Bacteria; Bacillati; Bacillota; Bacilli; Caryophanales; Bacillaceae. The record is from RNAcentral.
GGCCAAGCGGAGUGUACUCUUCGCCUACCAAUUGUCCGCCCUCUGCCUUUAAUUGAGCUUUAAUAAUUUUAUUUGCUGUGCGUGGAAACACAUAAUCAGAGCCAAGCAAGAAAAAUUUCUUCCCUUUAUUUUUUAGAAGCCAGUUUACUGCCGGGAC